This is a long non-coding RNA of Haemorhous mexicanus (house finch), 4616 nucleotides long. RefSeq lists it as uncharacterized. The record is from RefSeq and is a predicted model, not a curated record. The transcript has 2 exons. Lineage: Eukaryota; Metazoa; Chordata; Aves; Passeriformes; Fringillidae.
UCUUUGCUUUCUUUCUUCCCUUUGUUCGCCAGGUAGAAAUUCUGACAAAGACACAAAAGUUCAUGUUCAUUAUGAAGCUGACAAUACAAGCAACUAGAUUGCUACAAACUCACUCAAUAGUUACUGAGUCUUUCAAUACUGAGUACCAACCAGCAGGUGCAAGAGACAGAUGCUUACAGACUCUUCUAACAGUGAAGAAACUGUUCAAAAAUCUAGAAGAAAUCUGAAGAAGUGAUCACCAUGAUAUCUUGGCACAUGUGCUCCAGCCUACUGAAAAUAAAGCCUGCAUUCCUCUGUUUCUGUGACACUGCAGCUGCCCUCAGAGGACCCAGUGCCUGCCUGCCCCACAAAAGAGGGACCACAGUGCCUCAAGGACAUGCUCACCCAUAAGAACAAAUUCUCCCACUGUUAAACAGCAAUGGAUGCAGAUGGACCAGUCUGAAUCCACCUGCAUUGUAUGGACAAAAGGACAGCACUUGGACUUAUGUGCAAAUUCUGACAAGUGGGAAGGAUGCUAGGACUUGUGUGCUGGAGCAUGUGCAGUGGCUUUGCUCCACAGCAAGCAGGGCCAGACAAGCAGAGCUGGCUGCCUGCAGACUGUAAGGCAGCGAAGGAAGCAGGCAGAUCAAGGAUGGAAGUAGCAUUUGGAUCCAUGGCCUAGAGGCCAGAAUAGUUACACUCAGAGUUCUUGUGGUUUACAGUUUUUCAAUUUAUCUGACUUUUCAUCUCUUUUUUUUCAUUUCUCAAGACUAUGAGAAAGUGACAAUAUGUUUACAUGCCUAGAACUCUUCAACACCUAAACUGCAACAUAAAUGUAAACAUUACCAAAAUACAAGUGAGAAGUGUGUAAAUAAAGGAACAGGCUGUUGCCAUAGUAUAAGAAAGAAACAAACAAGCAGCAAAUCUGCCCUGCCAGUAGACCACAUUUACAGCUGUGCAAGUUAUCUGAAGUGAAACACUGCUCUUCCACACAACCACAUCUUCUUUUCCAAGCAGUGCUGUGAACAGAUGUCUGCCAGAAUGCAAGCCUCAGAGCAGACCGUUUUUGGAGGGGCACCAGGAGAGGAAGCAGAAGAGAUCUGGAUCUCAAAACCAGUUCUUUAAAAACUGUUUUCUUAGAAGUUCACUUUAAGUCAGGGGAGCUCAGAAACACAGACACCUGAAUGUGGCCUAUGCUGAUGCCAUGUCUGUAGUGUGAGAAACUUUAACAUUCAAUGCAAUAGACAGUUAUCCUAGGAAAUGCAGCUGGCUUCAGACUGCCUGGACAGAAUUUUAGUCUAAAGCUGUAGGUAAGCAAACACUCAGGACCACAGCUUCACAGUCACAUCUAAAGACAAUAUUCAGAGUGGAAAAAAGCCAAAAUCAGCUCAAAACAAAAUCCACUUAAAAGUUCUGAGCAGCUGCAGCCCAGUGAUCUGCGCAUGUGCAACAGCUCUUCUUGACAGGCAGCACCACUGCAGCCCUGAAGCCUCAGAGGGCACUGCUAGGCUGGGUUGGGCCUCCAGACCUUGGGAUGGAUUUGGAAAGUACAGGGACAUGCAAGCUGUAAGCCUUCUUCUCUAGAUCAUUAUAAAGACAUAGUACAACCACUAAAAUACACAAUGAGGAUUUAUAAAGGUAAGUACACUGUCUCAACAAGGCUUGGCUCAUCAACUUUACCACUGGUGGGGAGAGCAUCCAUCUGACUUAGUCAGCCUUCUGUGGAUUGAUAAUACAAAAACUAAGCUCCUCUGACUGCAACUGAUUCACAUUCAGGCAUCUGGCAUUUAUUUAGCAGAAUAUUUAGACCACCCUGUACUGAAAUAAUCAAUCCUAAAGAGAGAAAGUUUGUAAGGAUAUCCAUGCUGCAUCUCUAUUGCCACAGCUUUUUCAUUACGGCCUCUGUCACCUAACCCAAUGUUACACAGAUGUACACUGUUGUCUUUCACCUGUCAACACACACUUCAUUUAUUACUGAUUACCUCCUUUAUGACUCUUUCCUGAAAUCUGGAAGGACAUAUAUACAUAUUUGUCAGUGGCUAAAAAACUGGGGAGCAGACUGAAGACUGUACUUGUUUCAUUACUGUGUGGUCUUCUAUUUUUGAUCAGAAGCAUUCAUCCUAGAGGAGGCAAACCACAUGUGUCCAGAAGAGGUCAUUUCAAGUCCAGUAGUCAAAGGUCAUGAAAAAAAGGCAAGCUCUUUCCUGUGCGAGGACACCACUGGGAAAUGCAUGCCUGGUUUGGAAUGUCAGGUCAUUCAUGGGACAAGAUGUAGUUGCAGGGCAACUUCCUACAUAUAUCUACAGAUCUGAGAAUUAACUAUUUCUUGUAUUCAAAAGAUAAGGCUAUGCAUACAACCUUUCCACUUAGGGACAUACCCUUCUCCUUUUGUGUGGAAAGCCAGGCAAAAAAAUAAUCAGGGUGUAUCUUCCCUGCACUGUAUAAUGCUCAAACAGUGGAAGAUAGAAAGUGUUUUCAGUAGUGUCCAAGAACAUCUGUGUUGGCACGUAAGCAAAGCAAACCUGGAUCAUGAUAAAACUUCACACCAAUUAGAAAGCUUUAUAGUGCAGUACUUAACUACUGCACUAUCAAACUUUCUGAUUGGUGCUUAUGCCUCUAUACUCAAAAUUGAAUUUCCUAAAUGAAAUAGCACCUCUCUCACACCUUGUGGUUGCCACUUUUUUCAUUCACAGACCCAUUCAGGUGGGAAUGCAGCAGUAACUACUUGCUGCAUGGCAAAAAUCAGGUGCUCCAAGACAGCAUGCUCCCUCUGCCUCCUCUUACACUUAGGCUGUAUUUUUGCUUUCAAGCUCUUGAGAAUGAUUUUCCAGAAGAUCUGAAAAAUCCGCAACAGCACAGAUCAAACAGUGUGCAUAAAACAAGGCAGCUGCUUCAUACUCAUGACUAGCUUCUUUGAGCAAUGGGCUGCCUGCUUAUGCUCAUCCAAACUACACCCAGUAUGAGGCAAGAGCUGGCCAGCUCACAUCCCAUUUCAGAUCAUUGCAACUGCUACUCAAUGCAGCAUGGUUUGUGCAGAAAAAAUAGAACAAGGUCAUAUCUGCAACUCAUAUCAUGGUGUGUCCCCUAGGAAACUGCACAUUAAAAAUAUUAGAAGAUGCCUAUAAUUCCUCUGAAGAUCAUAAAAAUAAUAAAAUACAUGAAGCUAAAGGCGAAGCUAUUUUGAAACCCCCAAAAGAGAGAGAAAUUAAGAUUACAAAACAAUGGGAGUACAGUGAAAAACACCUCCUUUUUCUCACUUCUAUUUCUUUGCACUUUUGCAGCAUACUCAAUAACCAGGUUCCUUUUAAUCUUUUUAUGUUUCCACCACUGGCUAACAGCGGAGACAAAAGGAAAACCUUGAUUCAUAAAUGUGGCCAAGCUGGUGAAAAACAAAAGUACCACCUGGUGGAUAGUAGAUAAAUAUUCAAGCAUGAAACUUGCCAUAGCUUCUUGUAACGAAAGACAUUACAAAUCCUUACUCCACCUCCUUCUGAAUGCUGCUGAGAACUCUUGCUCUUCAGAAGAAAUAAAAUAUCAAUUCAGUGUAUGGGUUCUCCAUUGGAAGGUGUAGAUUUAGGCUUUUGGCUUACGUAUGAGGGAGCAGAAGCAUAAAGUACUCACUGUACAGACUUUCAAUAAUUGCCAUAAAUACUGUCCAAAAGUAAGAAAACAAACAAACAAACAAAAGCACAUGUAGGUGGCGUUGCCUGCACUCUUUGAUUUUAUCAAAAGAAAAACACAAGAAAUGGAAGUUCAUGCAAACAGAAGUAAAAGACAGUGUUCAAAGUGCGUGACCAGCAUUUACAGCAAGGAGUUUAGAUUCAGCUACACCUUAAAACCAACCAUUUUCCUUCAUUUUUCUUCCUUUUAUAGUAUCUUUUAGCUGAGAAUUAUUCUUUGAGUUUUUAAAAAGAGGUGUUGAGACCUGACAACCUUUCCUUUCAAGAGAAAACCAGCAUCACUCAACCACAUGACAAAGCAUCACCUUUCCAAUGUUGUAAAGGUUCUCUUUAUUUUCCCAUGUAUCAGUAUGUAUUUUUGCUUCACUCUUUAGUCACAGACUUGUGAUGCUCCCUCUCUGCAGAUGAGUCACUGAUGGCAUUCAUGGAACAGUCUUUUACUGCAAAUUCCCUACAGGGUCUAUUAUAUCACAGUGAGCAGAGGGCAAAAGUGUGCCUGUUUUUGUGGCAAGGGGGCACCUGAGAAUUUUUUAGAAGCUUUUUCUAAAAGGUAUUCCAAACACUUUAAAAAAAUAUUUCAGAAACAAAGCUGCAGAAGAACUACCAAGUGCUGCAUGACAAAAAUUACAAUCUUUGAAAAAAAAGCCACGGGCAUUAACUGAGCAACAUAUUACCAGUAUGUAGAGAAUAAAUCCUGCAUUUCAGAACCUCAAUUCCCCAUCAGAAAAUGAAACACUUUUAAUUAACUGUUGUUAAAUAGGUCUAUAACUAAUUCACAGAAAGAAACAAUAAACAUUGGCACAGGUCACAGACCUCCUUCAGAGGUCCACUUGUUUUAGGAAGGCAUCUGCCCAUCUUUAUAAGAUAUUUUUAAAGCACUAAUUGUGUCCAAUCUUUGUGAUGAAAAUUUUGUAUCACUAAUUUGUCUAAGAAUAAACUGUAGGCACCCGGCCACCA